GUGGCACAGUGGUACGAUUUAACAGAUGAGACCAAUUAACGUGGCCUUUGUAUGCUUACGUACGGCCUUUGUAUGCCUUCGCACUUGUAUGUCUGCAUCUGCAUGCUGAUAAUGUCACCUGUAUAGCACAGUGCAGUGGGUAGAAGAUGUGUCUAUGUAAUGUUAUGCGAUAUACGCUCUGUACUUGCUAUCAUUUCCAGCAAUACCAAAUGCAUUUUGGACGGGUUGUAACUGUCAGUGCACGCCAGCUGAAUAUGUGCCAAAGGGUAGAAAACAGUUCGAGUAUGAACAGUUUGAGUCUUGAUGGGAAUUAAAAACACUGAAUUAAAUGGACUGAAGCACUGUUCCUCUAUGGUGAUCUUAAAUAUAGUGUUUCCUUGAUACGUUUUAUUAUUUUAACAUCAAAGACACAUUCCUGCAUGUUUUUCAUAUUUUAGCUUAUUACAUAGCAGGUUGCUUGAGAUUUAAAAGAAAAAAGAAAAAAAAACGACCUGCAUUUCAAACUUAAAAGAUGUAUAAAAGCUUUAUUCCUUUAAGAAAACGGGUAAAAGUGUAGUUAUUUAAAGAACCGUCAUAGAACAGUAAGGGUCGCGUUACGGUUUCUUUAUAUUCUGGUGAAGUGUGCGUCUUUUAAAUGAAUAUUAAUACCCCUCAGAAACGUCACUCAAGGGUGUGUCCUCAAGGGUACCUCUUUUGUACCUUUUUUAAUAUGCAUCUUUCACAUGGAAAUGUGGUUGUGGUGUACCUUUUUAAAAAUAAUUUCCGGUACAUAGAUUGGUUAUUGGCGUUUUUAAAGGUGCACUACAUGCAUCAUUUCUAGGUAAACGAUACACACUGAAGGUAUACAGGGGAUAUAAAACUGGCCGGACAGAACCUUUUCUGCUUUUAUUGUUAAAUUUCAACCUAUAAAUUAAAGUGAAAAUCAAUACGAAUCAUUUUAUGGAAUUAUUUUAAAAUUUUUUUUUAAAACCCAUAACAAAUGUAAAAUAACCUGGUUGCAUAAAUGUGCACACCCCUACCCUAAAACUUAGUUGAAGGACCUUUUAGAUUUUAUCGUGACAGUCAAUCUUUUUGGGUAAGCGUCAAUCUUUUUGGGUAAGCGUGAAUCAGUUUUUGGGUAAGCGUCAAUCAGGCACAUCUUGACUUAGCAAUAUUUCACCAUUAUUCCUCACAAAAGCAUUCAAGCUAAAUCUUCCACAAAGUUUUGAUUUGGUUUAGAUCUGGACUCCUGAAAUUCCUCUUCAUCAUCAAGCUUUUGUGGCAAAAUUUACUGGUAUUUGGAGCUCUUUAUUAUUUGCUCCACUCUGAUUGAAACCCCAGUUCCAGCAGAAGAAAGGCAGCACUAAAGCAUGAUGCCGCCACCACCAUGCUUCACCUUGGGGAUGGUGUUCUUUUGGUGGGUUUUUUAUUUUUUUAUUUUUUUCCUUCAAAUAUAUCUUUUGGUAACCUGCUAUUAGAACAGGGAUGAGUAGACUUUUUUUAAUAUCCGUUAUAAAAAGAUGUACCCUUGAUGUACCCACUCCGGUGACGAGGAAAGGUACAGUUUAGUACCGUUUCAUCUGAGAGUAUAUGUUCACUUUGCUUAGAUAUAUGCUGAUUUAAUUGCCUUUGUGUUUGCAUUUUAUUUAUUUUAAUUUUUUUGCCUUAAACAUAUUUUCUCACAGCAUGGGGAAAUUUCUGUUCACUGUGCAUUGACUUCUGGAUGAAGAGGUUUCAUGAUGUGUGUGUAUGUGUGUGUAUCCGAAGUGUUGAAUUGUAUCUGUUUCAGUUUCAAACGGUUUAUCACAAAAAAAAAAAAAAAACCAUAUCAGAAACAUAUCACUGUGCUUUUUCUAUCCAUUCCAAACAGAUUUGAGAUCAUCUUAUGAGGACUAACUUUCUGGAAGUAUAUAUUAAGCGAUUUAUAUUUUUGUAGAAGUGUGCCAAUUUAUCACAAAAUGUUUUGAAGCAAGUGUGUUAAGUUACGGUUCCUUGGGAGGAAACCAGAGAAGAGUAAGCAGAUUUACAGUCUGUUGAUGCUGUCACUGAAAAUCUGUAUUGCAGCUGUUCUAUUAAAGAUACUCUUUGCACUUUAAAUGUGUUUGUUUCAGUUGUGGUUUUAAACUGCCUGUGUUUUUGUUAAAAAAAAUCUGAAUGAACCAACUUUUACCUCACUUUAAUGUUAUC
Ictalurus punctatus (channel catfish) is the source of this 2166-nucleotide long non-coding RNA. NCBI's taxonomy places the organism in Eukaryota, Metazoa, Chordata, Actinopteri, Siluriformes, Ictaluridae. The record is from Ensembl.